UGCCAGCCGCCGCGGUAAUACGGAGGGGGCGAGCGUUAUUCGGAAUUAUUGGGCGUAAAGGGCGCGUAGGCGGCCUGACAAGUCAGGGGUGAAAUCCCUCGGCUCAACCGAGGAACUGCCUCUGAAACUGUCAGGCUUGAGGCCGGGAGAGGGUGGCGGAAUUCCAGGUGUAGUGGUGAAAUACGUAGAUAUCUGGAAGAACACCAGAGGCGAAGGCGGCUUUCUGGACCGAUACUGACGCUGAGACGCGAAAGCGUGGGGAGCAAACAGGAUUAGAUA
RNAcentral lists this ribosomal RNA (279 nucleotides) under uncultured bacterium. RNAcentral describes it as "partial 16S ribosomal RNA". It matches the Rfam family "Bacterial small subunit ribosomal RNA", at positions 506 to 784 of the family's 1533-position model. The record is from RNAcentral.